AUUGAACGCUGGCGGCAUGCCUUACACAUGCAAGUCGAACGGCAGCACGGGUGCUUGCACCUGGUGGCGAGUGGCGAACGGGUGAGUAAUACAUCGGAACAUGUCCUGUAGUGGGGGAUAGCCCGGCGAAAGCCGGAUUAAUACCGCAUACGAUCUACGGAUGAAAGCGGGGGACCUUCGGGCCUCGCGCUAUAGGGUUGGCCGAUGGCUGAUUAGCUAGUUGGUGGGGUAAAGGCCUACCAAGGCGACGAUCAGUAGCUGGUCUGAGAGGACGACCAGCCACACUGGGACUGAGACACGGCCCAGACUCCUACGGGAGGCAGCAGUGGGGAAUUUUGGACAAUGGGCGAAAGCCUGAUCCAGCAAUGCCGCGUGUGUGAAGAAGGCCUUCGGGUUGUAAAGCACUUUUGUCAGGAAAGAAAUCCUUGGCUCUAAUACAGUCGGGGGAUGACGGUACCGGAAGAAUAAGCACCGGCUAACUACGUG
Molecule: ribosomal RNA, 486 nt
Filed under: uncultured bacterium
Lineage: Bacteria
Description: partial 16S ribosomal RNA
Rfam family: Bacterial small subunit ribosomal RNA
Source: RNAcentral